RNAcentral lists this ribosomal RNA (253 nucleotides) under uncultured bacterium. RNAcentral's name for it is "partial 16S ribosomal RNA". It matches the Rfam family "Bacterial small subunit ribosomal RNA", at positions 524 to 776 of the family's 1533-position model. The record is from RNAcentral.
CACGUAGGGCGCAAGCGUUGUCCGGAAUUAUUGGGCGUAAAGAGCUCGUAGGUGGUUUGUUACGUCUGCUGUGAAAACCUAGGGCUUAACCCUGGGCUUGCAGUGGAUACGGGCAGACUAGAGGUAGGUAGGGGAGAAUGGAAUUCCUGGUGUAGCGGUGAAAUGCGCAGAUAUCAGGAGGAACACCGGUGGCGAAGGCGGUUCUCUGGGCCUUACCUGACACUGAGGAGCGAAGGCGUGGGGAGCGAACAGG